GGAAGCAAAGUUUAAUAAUUGAAUAGCUCAAGCACUAAACUCUUACAUAUUAUUAAGAUACUAUCCUAAUAUGUCUCAUUUGUCAAAGAUGGAAAAGUUUUGAUAUGACAUAAGGGUUUCAAUCCCAAUAGGAAUAUUAAUGGUAACAAUAAAAAUAACAUAGCAACACGGUUUCUGUUGAAUGCCUGCCACAUGCCAGCAACUGCUUUGAUAAUUAAAGAAUUAUAUCUUAUGUUGAUUAUAAUCCUUAUAAUGGCUUCCUGGGUAAGAAAGGUUUAUUACUGUUUUACAUUUGAGGAGGAGACUAGGGUUCAGAGAGGGUGCAGAAGUGAGUUACACUUUUGCCAACCAGGCCAGAAGAUGAAAGCCGCUGGAUUGGGAAAUGCUUUUGUAUCAAAAGCACAAAAUGAAGUGGCUAGUGUUACUUGUUGGAAAAAAAUUAACUUUGGCAAGCAUAAAUAUAAUUCAGUAUUUGAGCAAUACUUUUAGGAGGGUAACAGAGUGGUUUAUGUGAAUUCUCCAAAAUGCCAUCAUGAAAAUUUUGAUGAUGAAAAUCACCUAAAAUUGCUAAUUACCUGUCUUAGCCUGUCUAGGGCUACAAAGUACCAUAUGCUGAGUGGCUCAUAAACAAUAGAAAUUUAUUUCUCACAGUGGAGGCUGGAAGUCAGAGUGCCAGAAUGGUCGAGUUCUGGUGAGGGCUCUUCCAGGUUGCUGUCAACUCUUUGCAUCCUUAGGUGGUGGCAAGAGGGCUAGAAAGUUCUUUGGAGUCUCUUUUAUUGUAUUUUAUUUUUUGGAGACAGUCUCACUCCGUCCCCCAGGCUGGAGUGCAGUGGCGCGAUCUCAGUUCACUGCAACCUCCACCUCCUGGGUUCAAGCAAUUCUCAGGCCUCAGCCUCCUAAGUAGCUGGGAUUACAGGUGCCCACCACAACACCUGGCUAAUUUUUGUAUUUUUAGUAGAGACAGGGUUUUGCCAUGUUGGCCAGGCUGGUCUCGAACUCCUGACCCCAGGCGAUCCACCUGCCUCGGCCUCCCAAAGUGCUGGGAUUACAGGCAUGAGACACUGCACCCAGCCUCUGGAGUCUCUUUUAUAAGGAUACUUACUAUUCUCAUCCAUGAAGUCUCCACUCUCAUGACCUAAUCACCUCACAAAGGCCCCGCCCCUUAAAACCAUCACAUUGGGCUUAGGAUUUCAACAUACAAAUUUUGGGGGGACAUAAACUUUCCAUCCCUAACAUUACCCAAAUAGUAUCUAUAUAGUCAUUUCUAAAUAUACACGUAUUUAGAAAUUUCUAAAUAGCCAGUAAACAUACAACUGACUUGGCCUUGAUAUAACUGUUUUCAUUUUCUUUUAUUUUCAUUCUACAUGACAUAUUUUGGGUAAUUAUAAAAUAAUUAAAAUUAGUUGAUAAAGUAUGGAAUUAGAAUAAAAUAAUUUUCUAUUACUAUCUAAGCCAUGAAAUGAAUUAGGAGAUGCUGUUUUCAGUGAAACGUCUUCUAGUUUUUAAAGUGCAUUGUCCAAUUCCUUUUUAUUUUGUGAAGAUUUUAAAAACUUAAAAAAAGUCUUCAAAUUGUUUGUGCCUUGCAUUUCUUUAAAUCUUAUGUUUAAACAUCAUGUGCUGCUAGUUGCUAGUCAUUUUCUCUAUCCCCUGCCCCAGACCCUCUCUUUCUCAGGAAAGGAUAUCCAGGGAUCCGGGUCCCAGUUAGUCAAGGAGAUAUAAGAGGAAGGCUAUGAGGCUUUCUGGGAAACAUUUUCUUUUUCCAAGAGAGAAGUGUUCAGAGGGAAAAGGUCCUUUCUCAGUUUGGCUCCCUCUUUGUGUUUUAGAUCUGGUCAUGUGAGGCUGCCUGGCUUGGAUUGUGAGGGCAUCUCUCGACAAUGAAGUGACAAGCCUGGGGAGGAAAAUCCACAGGCGAGAAGGUGGCAGAAUGGAGAGAUGGUCCUUCAUGACUUCUUUGAGUCACCAGGUCCAGAUUUCCCGCCAACCUCCAGUCUUCUUGUUAUGUGAUCUGAUAUCAUUAUUUACUGCAGAGGCCACUGAGUGGAUGCUCUUACUUGUGUCUGAAAAUCCAAUUCACUAAAUUAAUCAAAAUACGGCACUCUUCUUUUGAAACCUUGCUCCAGAACAAAGUGGAAGGUAAUGAUGGGGUGCUUUUCAAAGUUCCAGGGAGGUGUCCCUACACAGCAGACAGCUGUCCAAAGGAAUGUAGAUGUUGGCUGCGGGGAGAUCUGAGUUGCCAGACUCAGUCAGAACAGGUGUCCUCUCCCUUAUUUUAUCUUAAACAUGCAUGUCAUUUUUGCAUGCUACUCUAUGCGGUUCUUUCAGCCAGGGAACAUUGCUGAGCACCCGCUCACGUGCUGUAUGGAGCGCAGACUGCAGGGUGCGAGGGGCGGAGGUGAUGUGCUAGGCCUGAAUUCAAGAGGGGGCGCAGCCACAGGCCCCGCGAUGCCGGGGUGGCCUCUUGUAACGACGUUUUAACCGCUGACCUAAGUGGAUCCGCUCCUCUCCCGGGUGGGCGCAGGAGAGCCACGCUUUGCUCUCCCAGGUGAGCCGCCGCUCGCUGUCCCGG
Molecule: long non-coding RNA, 2566 nt
Filed under: Homo sapiens (human)
Lineage: Eukaryota; Metazoa; Chordata; Mammalia; Primates; Hominidae
Description: non-protein coding lnc-DDC-1:4
Source: RNAcentral